UCUAUUUCUGUUUUACCAGUUUCUCUGAACUGGUUUACCAGUUACAUAUUUUGCUUCUUGUUUUUAUAGACUUCUGAGAGCAACAGCAAAUAUAUUCAAUACUGAGAAUAUUUCAUUUGUAUUGAACACAAUGAGAAGGUGGAUAAAUGUCAAGAAGACAUCAAAAUACCAGUGAUGAAUGUAUCAUGAGAGGACACAACAUCAUCAUAUAAAAAGUUACCCAGACUUUAAUGGUGAGUUCUAGACUGUGGACUCAAGGUAAGAUGUAG
This is a long non-coding RNA of Bos indicus x Bos taurus (hybrid cattle), 269 nucleotides long. Lineage: Eukaryota; Metazoa; Chordata; Mammalia; Artiodactyla; Bovidae. The record is from Ensembl.